Molecule: ribosomal RNA, 460 nt
Filed under: uncultured bacterium
Lineage: Bacteria
Description: partial 16S ribosomal RNA
Rfam family: Bacterial small subunit ribosomal RNA
Source: RNAcentral
CCUACGGGAGGCUGCAGUGAGGAAUAUUGGUCAAUGAGCGGAAGCCUGAACCAGCCAAGUAGCGUGCAGGAUGACGGCCCUACGGGUUGUAAACUGCUUUUAUACGGGAAUAACGCGCCUUACGUGUAGGGCUUUGCAUGUACAGUAUGAAUAAGGACCGGCUAAUUCUGUGCCAGCAGCCGCGGUAAUACGGAAGGUACGGGCGUUAGCCGGAUUUAUGGGGGUUAAAGGGAGCGUAGGCCGCAUGUCAAGCGUGCUGUGAAAUGUCCGGGCUCAACCCGGGCCUUGCAGCGCGAACUGGCGUGCUUGAGUCCGCGGAAGGCAGGCGGAAUUCGUCGUGUAGCGGUGAAAUGCUUAGAUAUGACGAAGAACCCCGAUUGCGAAGGCAGCUUGCUGCAGCGGAACUGACGCUGAUGCUCGAAAGCGCGGGUAUCGAACAGGAUUAGAUACCCGUGUAGUC